RNAcentral lists this unclassified non-coding RNA (377 nucleotides) under uncultured Pseudobdellovibrionaceae bacterium. RNAcentral describes it as "uncultured Bdellovibrionaceae bacterium contains 16S-23S intergenic spacer region". Lineage: Bacteria; Pseudomonadati; Bdellovibrionota; Bdellovibrionia; Bdellovibrionales; Pseudobdellovibrionaceae. The record is from RNAcentral.
UCCUACUUAUCAUAGGCAGUUUCCUUAGAGUUCUCAACUUAAUGUUAGCAACUAAGGACGAGGGUUGCGCUCGUUGCGGGACUUAACCCAACAUCUCACGACACGAGCUGACGACAGCCAUGCAGCACCUGUGAAUCGGCCCUUGCGGGCGAGGACAUCUCUGCCACUCUUCCAAUUCAUGUCAAACCCAGGUAAGGUUCUUCGCGUUGCAUCGAAUUAAACCACAUGCUCCACCGCUUGUGCGGGCCCCCGUCAAUUUCUUUGAGUUUUAACCUUGCGGCCGUACUCCCCAGGCGGGAUACUUAACGCGUUAGCUUCGGCACUGAAGGGGUCAAUACCUCCAACACCAAGUAUCCAUCGUUUAUGGCAUGGACUAC